RNAcentral lists this unclassified non-coding RNA (267 nucleotides) under Leishmania donovani. RNAcentral describes it as "gene:unknown". Lineage: Eukaryota; Euglenozoa; Kinetoplastea; Trypanosomatida; Trypanosomatidae. The record is from RNAcentral.
GGGUUAGGGUUAGGGUUAGGGUUAGGGUUAGGGUUAGGGUUAGGGUUAGGGUUAGGGUUUUUCUCUCCACUGAUUCCUUGCACAGCGACACCCUCUCCAACAGGACGGGGGCGUGACGGUGUACUGGUGUACUGGUUAGGGUUAGGGUUAGGGUUAGGGUUAGGGUUAGGGUUAGGGUUAGGGUUAGGGUUUUUCUCUCCACUGAUUCCUUGCACAGCGACACCCUCUCCAACAGGACGGGGGCGUGACGGUGUACUGGUGUACUGG